GAAAACGAUGGCUAAUACCGCAUAAUGCCUACGGGCCGGAGAGGGGGACCUUCGGGCCUCUCGCGUCAGGAUAUGCCUAGGUGGGAUUAGCUAGUUGGUGAGGUAAUGGCUCACCAAGGCGACGAUCCCUAGCUGGUCUGAGAGGAUGAUCAGCCACACUGGAACUGAGACACGGUCCAGACUCCUACGGGAGGCAGCAGUGGGGAAUAUUGCACAAUGGGCGCAAGCCUGAUGCAGCCAUGCCGCGUGUGUGAAGAAGGCCUUCGGGUUGUAAAGCACUUUCAGUCGUGAGGAAGGUGGUGUUGUUAAUAGCUGUAUUAUUUGACGUUAGCGACAGAAGAAGCACCGGCUAACUCCGUGCCAGCAGCCGCGGUAAUACGGAGGGUGCGAGCGUUAAUCGGAAUUACUGGGCGUAAAGCGCAUGCAGGUGGUUUGUUAAGUCAGAUGUGAAAGCCCGGGGCUCAACCUCGGAAUAGCAUUUGAAACUGGCAGACUAGAGUACUGUAGAGGGGGGGUAGAAUUUCAGGUGUAGCGGUGAAAUGCGUAGAGAUCUGAAGGAAUACCGGUGGCGAAGGCGGGCCCCCUGGACAGAUACUGACACUCAGAUGCGAAAGCGUGGGGAGGCAAACAUGAUUAUAUACCCUGGGUAGUCCACGCCGUAACGAUGUCUACUUGAGGUUGUGGCCUUGAGCCGUGGCUUUUCGGAGCUAACGCGUUAAUAACCGCCUGGGGGAGUACUGUCGCAGAUUAAAACUCAAAUGAAUUGACGGGGGCCCGCACAGGCGUGGGAGCAUGGUGGUUUAGUUCGAUGCGA
This 814-nucleotide ribosomal RNA is filed under the name Vibrio sp. AD47. RNAcentral's name for it is "bacterial SSU rRNA". It matches the Rfam family "Bacterial small subunit ribosomal RNA", at positions 152 to 959 of the family's 1533-position model. Lineage: Bacteria; Pseudomonadati; Pseudomonadota; Gammaproteobacteria; Vibrionales; Vibrionaceae. The record is from RNAcentral.